GUGCCCGCUUCAGCAGCACAUACACUAAAAUUGGAACACUACAGAGAAGAGAAGCAUGGCCCCUGCGCAAGGAUGACAUGCAAAUGCAUGAAGCGUUCCAUAUUUUA
Tursiops truncatus (common bottlenose dolphin) is the source of this 107-nucleotide small nuclear RNA. The record is from Ensembl. NCBI's taxonomy places the organism in Eukaryota, Metazoa, Chordata, Mammalia, Artiodactyla, Delphinidae.